GUGAUCGGCCACACUGGGACUGAGACACGGCCCAGACUCCUACGGGAGGCAGCAGUAGGGAAUCUUCCGCAAUGGACGAAAGUCUGACGGAGCAACGCCGCGUGAGUGAUGAAGGCUUUCGGGUCGUAAAACUCUGUUGUUAGGGAAGAACAAGUGCUAGUUGAAUAAGCUGGCACCUUGACGGUACCUAACCAGAAAGCCACGGCUAACUACGUGCCAGCAGCCGCGGUAAUACGUAGGUGGCAAGCGUUAUCCGGAAUUAUUGGGCGUAAAGCGCGCGCAGGUGGUUUCUUAAGUCUGAUGUGAAAGCCCACGGCUCAACCGUGGAGGGUCAUUGGAAACUGGGAGACUUGAGUGCAGAAG
Molecule: ribosomal RNA, 363 nt
Filed under: Bacillus thuringiensis
Lineage: Bacteria; Bacillati; Bacillota; Bacilli; Caryophanales; Bacillaceae
Description: bacterial SSU rRNA
Rfam family: Bacterial small subunit ribosomal RNA
Source: RNAcentral